This 741-nucleotide ribosomal RNA is filed under the name uncultured bacterium. Its description in RNAcentral is "bacterial SSU rRNA". It matches the Rfam family "Bacterial small subunit ribosomal RNA", at positions 8 to 796 of the family's 1533-position model. The record is from RNAcentral.
AGAGUUUGAUCAUGGCUCAGAACGAACGCUGGCGGCAGGCUUAACACAUGCAAGUCGAACGCACCGCAAGGUGAGUGGCAGACGGGUGAGUAACGCGUGGGAGCCUUCCCUGUGGUACGGAAUAACUUCGGGAAACCGAAGCUAAUACCGUAUAUCCCCCUCCGGGGGAAAGAUUUAUCGCCAUAGGAUGGGCCCGCGUUGGAUUAGCUAGUUGGUGAGGUAAAGGCUUACCAAGGCGACGAUCCAUAGCUGGUCUGAGAGGAUGAUCAGCCACAUUGGGACUGAGACACGGCCCAAACUCCUACGGGAGGCAGCAGUGGGGAAUAUUGGACAAUGGGCGCAAGCCUGAUCCAGCCAUGCCGCGUGAGUGAAGAAGGCCUUAGGGUUGUAAAGCUCUUUCGCUAGGGACGAUAAUGACGGUACCUAGAUAAGAAGCCCCGGCUAACUUCGUGCCAGCAGCCGCGGUAAUACGAAGGGGGCUAGCGUUGUUCGGAAUCACUGGGCGUAAAGCGCACGCAGGCGGAUAAAUAAGUCAGGGGUGAAAUCCCGGGGCUCAACCUCGGAAUUGCCUUUGAUACUGUUUAUCUCGAGUUCAGGAGAGGUUGGCGGAAUUCCUAGUGUAGAGGUGAAAUUCGUAGAUAUUAGGAAGAACACCAGUGGCGAAGGCGGCCAACUGGCCCGAUACUGACGCUCAUGUGCGAAAGCGUGGGGAGCAAACAGGAUUAGAUACCCUAGUAGUCC